GGAGUCGUAUCGAAGUGGUCAUAACGGGGCGCACUCGAAAUGCGUUAGUCCUUCGGGGCUCGAGGGUUCGAAUCCCUCCGACUCCG
RNAcentral lists this transfer RNA (86 nucleotides) under Lachnospiraceae bacterium. Its description in RNAcentral is "tRNA-Ser". It matches the Rfam family "tRNA". Rfam says of the family: Transfer RNA (tRNA) molecules are approximately 80 nucleotides in length. Lineage: Bacteria; Bacillati; Bacillota; Clostridia; Lachnospirales; Lachnospiraceae. The record is from RNAcentral. RNAcentral also lists the same sequence under 1 other name.